RNAcentral lists this ribosomal RNA (498 nucleotides) under uncultured bacterium. Its description in RNAcentral is "partial 16S ribosomal RNA". It matches the Rfam family "Bacterial small subunit ribosomal RNA", at positions 28 to 523 of the family's 1533-position model. The record is from RNAcentral.
GAUGAACGCUAGCUACAGGCUUAACACAUGCAAGUCGAGGGGUAGCAGGGUAGCAAUACCGCUGACGACCGGCGCACGGGUGAGUAACACGUAUCCAACCUUCCCAUAACUCGGGGAUAGCCUUUCGAAAGAAAGAUUAAUACCCGAUAGUACUUUUUCAAGGCAUCUUGAAAAAGUUAAAGAUUUAUUGGUUAUGGAUGGGGAUGCGUUCCAUUAGGUAGUUGGUGAGGUAACGGCUCACCAAGUCUUCGAUGGAAGGGGGUUCUGAGAGGAAGGCCCCCAACAUGGGUACGGGGAAACGACCCAAACCCCUACGGGAGGCAGCAGUAGGGAAUAUUGGUAAAUGGGCGAGAGCUUGAACCAGCCAAGUAGCGUGAAGGAUGAAGGUCCUAUGGAUUGUAAACUUCUUUUAUAGAAGAAAAAAGUGAGCCACGUGUGGUUUUUUGUAUGUAUACUAUGAAUAAGGAUCGGCUAACUCCUUGCCAGCCGCCGCAGUAA